RNAcentral lists this long non-coding RNA (450 nucleotides) under Trifolium pratense (red clover). RNAcentral's name for it is "long non-coding RNA (TPRA_LNC012988)". The record is from RNAcentral. Lineage: Eukaryota; Viridiplantae; Streptophyta; Magnoliopsida; Fabales; Fabaceae.
UUCCCCUGCUUCAUGCUCUUGCCAAUAUUAAUAUCCAUAUUUUUUUUUAUUUUGAAAAUUAAAAAAAGAUGUAAUGGAAAUUGGAUAGAAAAAGAUGGAAAAAUGAAGAGAUGGGUGUGUCAAGUGUCAACCCCUAUCAUAAACCAAAUUAAACAUGGCUUUACUUCUUGGCCUCAUUGUGUUGCUCAUAAUAAUAAUAAUAAUAAUAAUAAUAAUAAUAAUAACUAUGGAAAAUUCAGUACACAACACUUAAAUAGUUAUGCAUGAGGAGUUGAGAAUAUUGAAAAGGUUGAUGUAUAAGAGAAUGAAAUAAAUUCUGAAUUUAAUGAAGAAGAAGAAUAUAAGAAUAUAAGAAUAUAGAGCUAUUUCGGCGCUACCUAGCUAGCUGAUAGCUUAACCUGCCUUGGACAAUUCCGGCACCUAUUACACCCGGCUUUAAAUAAAUAUAGA